AUCGCUUCUCGGCCUUUAGGCUAAGAUCAAGUGUAGUAUCUGUUCUUAUCAGUUUAAUAUCUGAUACGUCUUCUAUCCGGAGACUAUAUUUUCAAUUGGUUUUUGGAACAUGGGGUAGGACUAGGAGCUUGUUCCAACCACUCCACACAUUGACCUGGUAUUGCAGUAUUUCCAGCAAUGGUACACCUUCA
RNAcentral lists this small nuclear RNA (191 nucleotides) under Amphiprion percula (orange clownfish). RNAcentral describes it as "U2 spliceosomal RNA (ENSAPEG00000019909.1)". It matches the Rfam family "U2 spliceosomal RNA". From Rfam's summary of the family: U2 is a small nuclear RNA (snRNA) component of the spliceosome (involved in pre-mRNA splicing). Complementary binding between U2 snRNA (in an area lying towards the 5' end but 3' to hairpin I) and the branchpoint sequence (BPS) of the intron results the bulging out of an unpaired adenosine, on the BPS, which initiates a nucleophilic attack at the intronic 5' splice site, thus starting the first of two transesterification reactions that mediate splicing. The record is from Rfam by way of RNAcentral. Lineage: Eukaryota; Metazoa; Chordata; Actinopteri; Pomacentridae.